AGCAAACAGAAAAGUAAUUAAGACAACGAUUUAAAAAAACCCCGAUAACAUAUGAAAGAGAAAAAGAGAACAGCAGAAAUACAUGUAAAACCACACUUAGCAUUACCAGUCAAAAUACAGAUACCACCAAAGCAGUUUUAAUCCAUCAGAUUUGUCAAAAAUUAAAAUUCUGACAAAAUCCAAGUGUUUAUAAAGAUAUGAGGAAACAGCCCAUACUAUGACCUAACAAUCUGACUUGUGAGGUGGAUAAACCCUACAUAAUCUCUCAUAGUGCCUCCCACAAGGAUGUUCACUACAGUAUUGUCUAUAACAGCAAAGAUACAAUUUAAAUCUUUAUGUCUUGGGUAAUGGAAAUAUAAAAUAUGCUGCAUUUACACAAUGGAAUACUGUAAGAGAAAGCAAAUCUGUGUUAGAGCAACAUGUAAAAACAUUUAAAAUCAAUUUGUGAACCAGACAUGAAAAGUCACGGACUCUGCACCUGUGAGGAGGGCCAGACGCGAGAAUAGAAGAACGAACCUGAUUGGCUGCUCCCAGACUCUGGACCCUGUGAAGGGGACAGCGUGGCCACUGGCCUGAGGAGACAGAGGCUAACCCUUGCUCAAAGUGAACAGCUACCAUGUGAGGACAGAAGCUGUCAGCACCAACAUGCACGUUUCAGAGACCACGAGGACGGCACACAGUCCUAAGGACUGUGGAAUGGCAGAGCUUUGGGGAAAUUCUGUUUACAACUGAGACAUUUCACAAUUCUAAUAAAAUAAUUUGCAUAAAGGUAUAGGAAAA
Long non-coding RNA from Chinchilla lanigera (long-tailed chinchilla), 780 nucleotides. RefSeq lists it as uncharacterized. NCBI's taxonomy places the organism in Eukaryota, Metazoa, Chordata, Mammalia, Rodentia, Chinchillidae. The record is from RefSeq and is a predicted model, not a curated record. The transcript is spliced from 2 exons.